AUUGAACGCUGGCGGCAGGCCUAACACAUGCAAGUCGAGCGGAUGAAGGGAGCUUGCUCCUGGAUUCAGUGGCGGACGGGUGAGUAAUGCCUAGGAAUCUGCCUGGUAGUGGGGGAUAACGUCCGGAAACGGGCGCUAAUACCGCAUACGUCCUGAGGGAGAAAGUGGGGGAUCUUCGGACCUCACGCUAUCAGAUGAGCCUAGGUCGGAUUAGCUAGUUGGUGGGGUAAAGGCCUACCAAGGCGACGAUCCGUAACUGGUCUGAGAGGAUGAUCAGUCACUCGUCAGCUGAGACGCGCUCCCGACUCCUACGUGAGGCACCGGUGCCGAAUCUUCGACAGUGAGCAGUAGCCUGACCCAGCCAUUCCGCGUGUGUGUAGAAGAUCUUCGCCUCGUAAAGCAUUUUAAGUUUUGGGUAAUGGCAUUAUGUUUUUACCUUGCUAUUUUGACUGUACCAUCAGAAUAAGCACCGGCUAACUUCGUG
RNAcentral lists this ribosomal RNA (484 nucleotides) under uncultured bacterium. RNAcentral's name for it is "partial 16S ribosomal RNA". It matches the Rfam family "Bacterial small subunit ribosomal RNA", at positions 30 to 507 of the family's 1533-position model. The record is from RNAcentral.